RNAcentral lists this ribosomal RNA (495 nucleotides) under uncultured bacterium. RNAcentral describes it as "bacterial SSU rRNA". It matches the Rfam family "Bacterial small subunit ribosomal RNA", at positions 28 to 531 of the family's 1533-position model. The record is from RNAcentral.
GACGAACGCUGGCGGCGUGCCUAACACAUGCAAGUCGAGCGGAGAUGUACGGAAGGUUUACCGGAAGUACAUCUUAGCGGCGGACGGGUGAGUAACGCGUGGGCAACCUGCCUUUUACUGGGGGAUAACACAGGGAAACUUGUGCUAAUACCGCAUGAUAUCACAUGGGGCAUCCUGUGUGAUCAAAGGAGCAAUCCGGUAAAAGAUGGGCCCGCGUCCGAUUAGCUAGUUGGUGAGGUAACGGCUCACCAAGGCGACGAUCGGUAGCCGGACUGAGAGGAUGGUCGGCCACACUGGGACUGAGACACGGCCCAGACUCCUACGGGAGCAGCAGUUGGGAAUCUUGGGCAAUGGGCGAAAGCCUGACCCAGCGACGCCGCGUGGAGGAAGAAGUCCUUCGGGCGUAAACUCCGUGGACUGGGGACGAGGAAGGACGGUACCCAGUACGAAAGGACGGCUAACUACGUGCCAGCAGCCGCGGUAAGGCUACGUAGA